RNAcentral lists this ribosomal RNA (446 nucleotides) under uncultured bacterium. Its description in RNAcentral is "SSU rRNA". It matches the Rfam family "Bacterial small subunit ribosomal RNA", at positions 26 to 518 of the family's 1533-position model. The record is from RNAcentral.
AGAACGAACGCUGGCGGCAGGCCUAACACAUGCAAGUCGAACGCUCGUAGCAAUACGGGAGUGGCAGACGGGUGAGUAACACGUGGGAACAUGCCCUUCGGUUCGGAAUAACUCAGGGAAACUUGAGCUAAUACCGGAUACGAUCGAGAGAUGAAAGAUUCAUCGCCGAAGGAUUGGCCCGCGUCCGAUUAGCUAGUUGGUGAGGUAACGGCUCACCAAGGCGACGAUCGGUAGCUGGUCUGAGAGGAUGAUCAGCCACACUGGGACUGAGACACGGCCCAGACUCCUACGGGAGGCAGCAGUGGGGAAUAUUGGACAAUGGGCGCAAGCCUGAUCCAGCCAUGCCGCGUGAGUGAUGAAGGCCCUAGGGUUGUAAAGCUCUUUCGUCAGGGACGAUAAUGACGGUACCUGAAGAAGAAGCCCGGCUAACUCGCGCCAGCAGCCGC